Molecule: ribosomal RNA, 430 nt
Filed under: uncultured bacterium
Lineage: Bacteria
Description: bacterial SSU rRNA
Rfam family: Bacterial small subunit ribosomal RNA
Source: RNAcentral
UGGGGAAUCUUGCACAAUGGGCGCAAGCCUGAUGCAGCAACGCCGCGUGAGUGAAGAAGGCCCUUGGGUUGUAAAGCUCUUUCGGCCGGGAAGAAGGGUUUAUGGGUAAACAAUCCAUAGAUUUGACGGUACCGGAGUAAGAAGCACCGGCUAAUUCCGUGCCAGCAGCCGCGGUAAUACGGGAGGUGCGAGCGUUGUUCGGAAUGACUGGGCGUAAAGCGCACGUAGGCGGGCUUUUAAGUCGUAUGUGAAAGCCCCGGGCUUAACCCGGGAAUUGCAUUCGAAACUGGAAGUCUUGAAUGCUUGAGAGGUUGAUGGAAUUCUUGGUGUAGGAGUGAAAUCCGUAGAUAUCAAGAGGAACACCAGAGGCGAAGGCGGUCAACUGGCGAUGCAUUGACGCUGAGGUGCGAAAGCGUGGGUAGCAAACAGG